Molecule: ribosomal RNA, 253 nt
Filed under: uncultured bacterium
Lineage: Bacteria
Description: partial 16S ribosomal RNA
Rfam family: Bacterial small subunit ribosomal RNA
Source: RNAcentral
UACGAAGGGGGCUAGCGUUGUUCGGAAUCACUGGGCGUAAAGGGCGCGUAGGCGGCUUGAUAAGUCGGGGGUGAAAGCCUGUGGCUCAACCACAGAAUUGCCUUCGAUACUGUCAGGCUUGAGACCGGAAGAGGUAAGUGGAACUGCGAGUGUAGAGGUGAAAUUCGUCGAUAUUCGCAAGAACACCAGUGGCGAAGGCGGCUCACUGGCCCGGUACUGACGCUGAGGUGCGAAAGCGUGGGGAGCAAACAGG